UUAUGGCUCAGGAUGAACGCUAGCGACAGGCUUAACACAUGCAAGUCGAGGGCAGCAUAAAAGUAGCAAUACUUGGUGGCGACCGGCGCACGGGUGAGUAACGCGUAUGCAACCUACCUAUCAGAGGGGAAUAACCCGGCGAAAGUCGGACUAAUACCGCAUAAAACAGGGGCACCGCAUGGUGAUAUUUGUUAAAGAAAUUCGCUGAUAGAUGGGCAUGCGUUCCAUUAGGUAGUUGGUGAGGUAACGGCUCACCAAGCCGACGAUGGAUAGGGGAACUGAGAGGUUGGUCCCCCACACUGGUACUGAGACACGGACCAGACUCCUACGGGAGGCAGCAGUGAGGAAUAUUGGUCAAUGGGCGGGAGCCUGAACCAGCCAAGUCGCGUGAAGGAAGAAGGAUCUAUGGUUCGUAAACUUCUUUUGCAGGGGAAUAAAGUGCAGGACGUGUCCUGUUUUGUAUGUACCCUGAGAAUAAGGAUCGGCUAACUCCGUGCCAGCCGCCGC
Molecule: ribosomal RNA, 507 nt
Filed under: uncultured bacterium
Lineage: Bacteria
Description: bacterial SSU rRNA
Rfam family: Bacterial small subunit ribosomal RNA
Source: RNAcentral